GUCAAAUGAUAGCAAGCGCAGCUGUGGUUUGCAGAAAUGGGAUUCCUCAUCUCCCGCUGGUGUGACAAGCAUGCAGGCGUUGCAGAGAGCCAUCCAGGAGCAUAGGUGAGAGGCACGCGUGCCCCUGCGACACUGAGAUGUGGCUCCUACAUUUACAUCCCAAAGACACUCUUGCAUGACCCGCAAGAAGAUACAGAAAAGGACGCUCAGACAGCAUUGCUUUCUACAAAGAGUAGCAGGCAAUGGAGAGGCCAUCGCUCAGGAUCCAAAAAGGAUACCAAGUGUCAUUCGAUGUUUUCCCAAAGAUGUCACCAUCUGGAACUUGUGUCUCCCCUGUUGUCACGCCACGAGAACCUCAGAGCUCACCAGGCCUGAGCGUCCAACCAGCCUGCCCUACCAGCCCACCGGCCUGCUCUCUGCCUACCCCACCUGCCCACUCUUCUGUUGCAAACCUCAUUCUUCCUGCUCAGAGCCCUGGGACCUGGCAGCUACUUCUCUCUCCACCAGGAAGAAGGGAGCCCCGUGUUCCUAGUGAGGGCUCUGCUGAGCAGGACAGCUCCUUGGAGGGACCUGACCUCCUCCCACCCCCAGCGGAGCCAACAGAGGACUGGGGAUUCAGCCUCAAGCUUGAGAUGCAGAAUCGUCUGCAAGCUCCGGGCUGCGAUGGGGUGAGGAUGAAUGAGGAUGCUCACUGGGACCCCAGCUCAGAGAAGAAGGGAAGGGAUGUGGCUUAGAGGACAGCCGGCAUUCUCAGCUGCUGGUGUUUGUGUCCGCCUGAGAGAAGCAAGGAUAAAUCAGAAAACCCAUCAUGAGCAAAGGCAGUGAGAAGGAGACCGGAUGUCAGGUGUGGUCAGCUGGGCAUGGAGAGGCCAGCACAGGUGUGCCCAGGGCCCAGGGCCUCAGCACGGCCCAGCUCUCCCCUACACCAGCUCCUCCUCAUUUCCCUGACCACUUACAGACCCAAGAGCCCUGGCGCUCAGUCCCUGGUCCACUCUUCUCUGUCCACACUCAACCUUGUUAGUCUCACUCAGUUUCAAGGCUUAAUGUCAUCUAUAUGUUGGAAACUCUCAAGUUGAUUGAAUUGAUCUCCUGAAUCUCAGACUGACGUAUGCAGUUUCCUACUUGUAUUUCUGCUUGGAUGUCUAAUAGACAUCUGUGGGGAUAAUCCAUCACUCCAUAACCAACUCCCCAAAACUUAGAGCCCCAAAAGAAUGAUGUAUUGUUUCUCGUGAUUCUGUUGGUCAGGAGCUCAUCUGGAUGGUUCUUCUGCUCUGUAUGAUGUUGGCUAGAGUAGCUCCCACAGCUGCAUUCUCUGGGAACUCAGCUGGAACUAGAAGCUCCUUCUCUCCUGCGUGUUAGUUGGUGCCGAUUGUCUGUCGGCCUCAGCUCUCCUCCACGUGGCUUCUCCUCCUCCCACAGUCUG
Molecule: long non-coding RNA, 1423 nt
Filed under: Piliocolobus tephrosceles (Ugandan red Colobus)
Lineage: Eukaryota; Metazoa; Chordata; Mammalia; Primates; Cercopithecidae
Description: lncRNA (ENSPTEG00000031370.1)
Source: RNAcentral